AGAAAUUGUGGACAUUGGUCAGCCAAGCCAUUAGAUCACCCAUGACCAUAUUAAGUAUAACAACUCCAUGGACAAACGUAAAGAUUGGUGGUGGAUAAUGAGGUUUGGAAACAAGAGUACUACAUCAUUAGCAACCUAGUUAGAAACCAUAAGCUUUUAAAGAGUGUCUUUGUUUGCUGCUGACUGCAUGUAGUAGGUAUCGCCC
RNAcentral lists this long non-coding RNA (205 nucleotides) under Gossypium barbadense (sea-island cotton). Its description in RNAcentral is "long non-coding RNA (GBAR_LNC009689)". Lineage: Eukaryota; Viridiplantae; Streptophyta; Magnoliopsida; Malvales; Malvaceae. The record is from RNAcentral.